Molecule: long non-coding RNA, 1977 nt
Organism: Monomorium pharaonis (pharaoh ant)
Lineage: Eukaryota; Metazoa; Arthropoda; Insecta; Hymenoptera; Formicidae
Exons: 3
Source: RefSeq, a predicted model, not a curated record
AUUCAAGAAUAGAGCCCCAGGUCUAAUCACCGACUUGAACUCGUCACGCGAGACACGCACGGAGUCGACAAAACGUCCGAGUGGCGUACGUGUGACCAUACGUGACUGCAGGCAGGCAGACUCGGCGGUACUCGGUGCUAGUCGGCGCCACUCGGCGUUGCUAGGCGGUUGACCGCCGCGCCUGCGCCGAGUAGCGCCGAGUCACGUACGCCGCUGCCGCCGCCAUGUUGCUCCGCGCUCCAGCGCCGGUCGGACGCAUCGGACGUUCUGUCGACUUCGUGCGUGUCUCGCGUGUGUCUUUCGCGUAUUCAGAAUUCGAAUUGUGCGCAGCUACGAUGUUGAGACUGUGAGAGUGUCGUCGCGAGCCAUGUGAGAUCGUAACAGAGUACGUAACAGAGGUCGUAUGUGUAAAGCGCGACACCGUGCGUUCAGUUUAGAGUAAAGUGUUCGCGUGCGCGUUCGAACAAAGUGUUUGCUCGAAGGAGACGUUCGAUAGAAUGUCGAUCGUGCCAAUAAUGAAACUUUAAUUCGCCGCCACUCAGACGAGACGUACUUUCACGUAUUUUUUCAAAUGUAACGGUCGCGCCAAGUGAAAUUCUCGCGCGCGGUUUACGUUUUACUCGUGUGUGAUAUAUAUUCGUAAUAUCGGGAGUGCCGAAUAAAGUAUCGGGCGAUCGUUAUUAAUGUGCGAUCAUUAUUAAUGUGAUUCGAGAACAGCAGGAUGAUGUCAGCAGAAAGCGGCAUCCAUGGAGCGACUCGGUAUUCCGAAAAAGGAAUGUAGCAGUAGCAGCAGCAUGCAUCAGCAUCAGGAGCAGCGACAGCAAUCGGUAGCGAGGCCAGGUUUAAAUCGUCAUGUUGGAAAUCCAUUGGACAUUAUUCAUUGUGUCCAGCUACCAAUUGCUAGUCUGACUAGUAAAGAAUCAUUUAAGGAUUUUCAAAAAUGAUGAUUUUACAAUGUAGACUGCGUAUCAGGUAUCUAUUUCAUGAGAAUUGAAAAACUAGAAUUGGAAAAGCUGGAUGAAUGAGAAUUAACCAAUCAGGGUUCAAUCAGGGUACUAUAGUUGAAACGAAAUCGUGAAGAAUUGACAAUUUUAAUUUGAUAUGGAUACUUUAUUGUACAGGUAAAAAUUUUGAUGCGGGAGAUCUCCUUAAUAACGAUAUUAAUUGACAUUUUCAAUACAAAAAUAACAAACAUUGUAGAAAUUUUAAGGAAAUAAUUGAAUAAUCUCAAUCCUAUUCUAUACAGUUUAAUAAUACAUACCCCAAUCAAAUUGAUUAUUCAAGGAUUAUAGAAAAUAUAAUAGUUAUUACAGCAGUUCAUAUUUUUUUCUAGAGGUCAGAUUCUCUCUUUUUGUAUAUAUUAUAUUAUCUUUAUGCUGAAAAAUUAGGUAGAAGAAGUAUAAAAAGUCGUAUAUUUUUAGAAAACAUUUUAUUGCAAUUAUCAUUUGUAUUUUACACUCGUUCACACAAUACUUCAUAAAUAGUUCAUUUAAACAAUCAGCAAUAAAACAGCUGUACCAAGAGAUACUAUGAUACACAUUACUAUUUAUAUUAUGGCAGCAUGGUAUCGUAUUCCGGAAUUCUUGUAUACUCGGUACGUGCUGUAAUAACUCAUUGCACAGGACUGUCUCAAAGUUAUCUGUCUAUCUAAUGUCAAUGUUUAGGAUCUCAUAAAGAAACUUAAAAAUUUAUUAGAAAGAAACUAAAACUUUAAAAUUUUAAGCAAUAUUAGAUUAAGGUUUCUGGCCUUUCAGCCGAGAACUCCGCGUUGACAUGAGUGAACAACUAUAGUGGCAAAUUGUGAAUUUUAAUUCUAUACUCGAAUUAUUGUACAAGCUUAAUUUUCACUCUGUAAGAUUUAGAUAGAUUGUAUGUGAAAAAAUUAAAUUACAAUUAUUCCUAGCGAUAGCUCUCUAACAAAAGUUCAAUUAUAUAUACAAUGAAAUAUAUAUAUAAUUAUUAAUAUAAAUUAAUAAC